CCUGCGUGCCUCGGUGUUGAUUGGAAUGACAUCAUCAGCCAGGAAGUCCAGGGCACUGCUGGUCUUUGCUGGUUUCGACUCACUGCAGACACAAAAAUCAAAGUUUGAAAACUGCAUAUCCAACUCUGGACGAGGGCUUGGGCGGGAAAGAGCUCUUCCUAUACCUGUCUCGUCCGCCGAGCAGAUCCUGGCUCCAGCGUCCCGGGCUGGGAGGGGGGGCGGGCUCUGCAGACGCCUCUGGACUGCGGAGGCGGAAGGAAGCGGGGAAGAGGAAGCGGAGAAGUACCUGGGUGAACUCGUGUCGAAAGAAAUGAGAGUGUCGGACAAGGCGGCGCUGGAGAGGGGUCUCCUUUCUCAGGUUCUGGGGAAACCUCGUCCUUCUUCUCCUCCACCUUUUGCGCCACUGGCUCUUUAACCGCAACAUCAGCAGCUGUCUUAACGCUGCCAUUGGCUCUGUCAACCACAAAGACAAUGAAUGAAAUUGGCUGGACCGUAUUGGCUUGUCGACUGAAAAUAUAAACAUCGCUGGAGACUCACAUUUUCUGUGGUUCGGCCUGAGGUGUGGAGGAAACCGCCGUAACGGGGACAGUGCUGGCAGGUGCUGCAGAGAUAUGAGAGGGAGGAUUUACCUCUUAGCCACAAAUGAUGGGGUGUCUGGUUCUUCCACUUUAGCCCUGCAGUGUUUUAAAACACAGCUUUGGGCAGACCUCAGAUGGCUUCUUGUUGAACUGGUUCACUCCACUGUAAAAGGAAAAAAAAGAGAUGGCAUCAUUGUGGGAACUGAAGUGGAAUAAAGUGCAUUUUUUAGUCACACCAUUAA
Molecule: long non-coding RNA, 820 nt
Organism: Acanthopagrus latus (yellowfin seabream)
Lineage: Eukaryota; Metazoa; Chordata; Actinopteri; Spariformes; Sparidae
Exons: 7
Source: RefSeq, a predicted model, not a curated record